GACGAACGCUGGCGGCGUGCCUAACACAUGCAAGUCGAGCGGGGAAAAUUGGAAAGCUUGCUUUCUGGUUUUCUAGCGGCGGACGGGUGAGUAACGCGUGAGCAAUCUGUCUCAAACAGGGGGAUAACGCAGCGAAAGUUGUGCUAAUACCGCAUAAGACCACAGUGCCGCAUGGUACAGGGGUCAAAGGAGCAAUCCGGUUUGAGGUGAGCUCGCGUCCCAUUAGGUAGUUGGUGAGGUAACGGCCCACCAAGCCUACGAUGGGUAGCCGACCUGAGAGGGUGAUCGGCCACACUGGAACUGAGACACGGUCCAG
This 316-nucleotide ribosomal RNA is filed under the name uncultured bacterium. RNAcentral's name for it is "bacterial SSU rRNA". It matches the Rfam family "Bacterial small subunit ribosomal RNA", at positions 28 to 334 of the family's 1533-position model. The record is from RNAcentral.